RNAcentral lists this long non-coding RNA (1046 nucleotides) under Olea europaea subsp. europaea. Lineage: Eukaryota; Viridiplantae; Streptophyta; Magnoliopsida; Lamiales; Oleaceae. The record is from RNAcentral.
CUCGGGUUCAGUGUUUCGUCCAUAUUUAUGUACUUCUCGGCUCGGGUAAGAAGCUCGGUGACUGUCUUUGGUGGAGUUUUGGAUAAAGACAUCUUGAAAGCCUCGCACUUUAUAGCAUAUGUGAGGGCAGAAACUGCUGCAGUUAUGUGUAGGUCGGGAAUCUGAAGUCUUUCCUUGUUGAACCUGGUCAUGAAGUCCCGUAGGGUCUCAUUUUGCCCUUGUCUAAGUUGCAUGAGGGAAGCCGCUGUCUUCCUGAUGCGUUUGCUGCUUGCGAAGAAAGCGGAGAACUUGUCCGCCAAAUCUGAGAAUGAGGCUAUGGAGUUUGGCUCUAAGGUUGAGAACCAAUCCCUAGCAGCAUUCGUCAAAGUUUGCGGGAAGGCCUUGCACAUCACCUGGUCUGGUGCAACCUGUAGAUUCAUGACGUCCGUGUAUAUGUUCAGAUGAUUGAUUGGAUCGGUGGUCCCAUCAUAUUCUUUGAUCCUAGGAUACUUAAAUCUGUCUGGCAAGGGGCAUGUUAAUAUCUCGGGAGUAAAUGGAGUGUUGGGACUGAAUCUUGUCGUCCCUUUGUUGCCCUGAAGUAGGCCCGCCGUAAUUCCUUCUUGAAUAAUCCUAGCGAGUUCCCCGGGCUCCAUGGUCACUGAUCUCGAGGCCGAGGUCACAUGUGGUAUACCCGAGGCCCCUGCUCCGCCAUUGUCAGGGACAUGAGCUCGAGCUCGAGCAUCAGCCAUAAACCCCCCUGGGGUACUGGUGUGGGUGACGGAUGCGAAUUUCUUUGACUUAGCAGCUGAGUCAGUGUGGCGACCUGUUGUCUGAGCUCUUCAAAGGCUCCAGCAGUGACGACUGCCGGCUGGGGCUCUGGCACUUCUGCUGAUUCCUCUUGAGGAACAGGGAUAUCCUCAGGAGGGGGUUGGUUUGGAGCGGAUGAGCUUGCUGGUGGAAGACCUGAAUGUGUGUUUACCAUGGCUUUUGGUAGCGUUUCCCACAGACGGCGCCAAUGAUGCUACCAAAAAUCGUACCUGAUGAUUUUCCGAGCUUGAUGAUUCUGG